GUUGGUUUGUUUAUCGUGCGGGUUCAGGUUCUUCAUCGAGAACUUUUACAUCUGUCUUAAAAAUAGAUUCAAGAAGGUGUUGCAGCCAACAAAGAUAAGCUUUAAACAUGACGGUGGUAGUAAAAGUGGAAUAUUGUGGAAUGUGAGGCUACGAGCCUCACUUCAGGGAACUGAAGAAAAUGAUUCUUGCCAAAGUACCUGAAGCUGAUGUGAGUGGUCGAGUAGGUAGACAAGCUUCUUUUGAAGUAAAUAUAAAUGAUGUUAACGUGUUUUCAAAACUAAAAGUUGACUCUUUUCCAAGAUUCAAUGAAGUUGUAAAAGUAGUCCAAGCUGCUAAUAAUGGUGAAGCAAUUUCCCAAGUAACAACUACUGAAAAUCGUUAGGAAUUUUAGAAAUCUUUAGAAGACAUAUUCUGUUACUAAAUACAGUGAAUAAAAAUAUGUAUGAAAUACCUUCUGUAAUGGAUUCCAUGGAAGAAAAUGGAUGAACAUUUUUAUUCUUUCUAAUUGUAACAGAAUAAAGAGUUUCUAUAGCAUU
Long non-coding RNA from Uloborus diversus, 537 nucleotides. RefSeq lists it as uncharacterized. Lineage: Eukaryota; Metazoa; Arthropoda; Arachnida; Araneae; Uloboridae. The transcript is spliced from 4 exons. The record is from RefSeq and is a predicted model, not a curated record.